AUUGAACGCUGGCGGCAUGCCUAACACAUGCAAGUCGAACGGCAGCAUGAAUCAGUUUACUGAUUUGAUGGCGAGUGGCGAACGGGUGAGUAACGCGUAGGAAUAUACCUUUCAGCGGGGGAUAACACGGGGAAACUCGUGCUAAUACCGCAUACGCUCUUCGGAGGAAAGCUGGGGACCGCAAGGCCUGGCACUGAAAGAUUAGCCUGCGUACGAUUAGCUAGUUGGUAGGGUAAAGGCCUACCAAGGCGACGAUCGUUAGCUGGUCUGAGAGGAUGAUCAGCCACACUGGGACUGAGACACGGCCCAGACUCCUACGGGAGGCAGCAGUGGGGAAUAUUGGACAAUGGGGGGAACCCUGAUCCAGCAAUGCCGCGUGUGUGAAGAAGGCCUGAGGGUUGUAAAGCACUUUCAGUGGGGAGGAAGUUGAGUGGUUUAAGAGAUGAUUCAAUUGACGUUACCCACAGAAGAAGCACCGGCUAACUCCG
RNAcentral lists this ribosomal RNA (488 nucleotides) under uncultured Legionellales bacterium. RNAcentral describes it as "bacterial SSU rRNA". It matches the Rfam family "Bacterial small subunit ribosomal RNA", at positions 30 to 505 of the family's 1533-position model. Lineage: Bacteria; Pseudomonadati; Pseudomonadota; Gammaproteobacteria; Legionellales. The record is from RNAcentral.